Molecule: RNase P RNA, 371 nt
Filed under: Bacteroidota bacterium
Lineage: Bacteria; Pseudomonadati; Bacteroidota
Also listed under: 1 other name
Description: Bacteroidetes bacterium (activated sludge metagenome) RNase P RNA component class A
Rfam family: Bacterial RNase P class A
About the family: Ribonuclease P (RNase P) is a ubiquitous endoribonuclease, found in archaea, bacteria and eukarya as well as chloroplasts and mitochondria. Its best characterised activity is the generation of mature 5'-ends of tRNAs by cleaving the 5'-leader elements of precursor-tRNAs.
Source: RNAcentral
UCUGCAGGCCGGCCUGUCGCGUCUCGUCGUUUACGGCGUGAUGAGGAAAGUCCGGAUAACACAGAGUACCGCACCACCUAACGGGUGGCUGUACGGCAACGUGCAAGAGAAAGUGCCACAGAAAAUAACUGCCCCGGUUUGUCCGGGGUCAAGGUGAAAACGUGGGGUAAGAGCCCACGAUGCAUGCUGGUAACAGCGUGCAUGGGUAAACCUUGCGGGUUACAAUGCCAAAUAAGCCGGAGUAUCCUUCGCGGAGAGAAGGCUGCUCGUCUGAACCUCCGGCGGGUAGGCAGCAAGAGCAUGCAUGUGAAUGUAUGCCCAGAUAAAUGACAGGACUCAAACAGAAUCCGGCUUAUGAGCCUGCAGAUCUU